Long non-coding RNA from Gasterosteus aculeatus aculeatus (three-spined stickleback), 331 nucleotides. Lineage: Eukaryota; Metazoa; Chordata; Actinopteri; Perciformes; Gasterosteidae. The record is from Ensembl.
CAUCUGGAUGCUGCUGCCUCUCAGGGAUGACGGCCGUGUCUGCCAUCAUCAUGUGAACGUGACACACCUACAACUAGCGCCCGCUAACCAUCAGUAAUGUGUAAUCAUUGGAGGCGCUGACCGGUCGUCACGGAUCCCUUGUUGAAUCAUAAUGAGCUGCUUUCUGCUGAGGAUCCUCUGGAGAGCAGUGCGCCAGCUGAGGCCCAGUAGGUCAGGUUGCCCAAUGUCGAUAUGUUGAAAAUACAUCUAUCGCUUUGAAACAAUAAUCCAACAUUUGAAAUGAAUCACCAGUUCAUUACUCUCUCAGUUAGUACACAGAUUACAACAAGGC